UGUAGUAGGAUUAAGAGGUUACUACUGGGGUCCCACACAACAUGAGAAGCUCAUUCUUUCGGAUUAUAUAUCUCCUGGAAGUCUUGCAAGUUUCCUCUAUGAUCGGCCUGGUAGAAAAGGUCCACCACUAACCUGGCCCCAAAGACUCAAAAUAUCAGUUGAUGUUGCACGUGGCUUGAACUAUCUCCAUUUUGAUCGGGAGGUUCCACAUGGAAAUCUUAAAGCAACCAACAUCUUGUUGGAUGGGCCUGACCUUAAUGCAAGGGUUGCAGAUUACUGCCUUCACCGCCUCAUGACUCAAGCCGGCACAAUAGAACAGAUUCUUGAUGCAGGAGUUUUGGGUUAUCGUGCCCCUGAGUUGGCUGCAUCAAAGAAACCACUGCCUUCCUUCAAAUCAGAUGUAUAUGCUUUUGGAGUUAUUUUGUUGGAGCUGCUUAGUGGAAAAUGUGCAGGUGAUGUUGUCUCUGGCGAAGAUGGCGGAGUAGACUUGACUGACUGGGUAAGGUUGAAGGUGGCAGAAGGUCGUAGCUCUGAUUGUUUUGAUAACGUUUUGUCACCUGAGUUGGAAAAUCCAGCAAUGGAGAAGCAAAUGAAGGAGGUUCUUGGUAUAGCUGUGCGAUGCAUUCGUUCUAUAUCUGAGAGACCUGGUAUCAAGACUAUAUAUGAGGACCUUUCGUCUAUAUAGUUUGUACUCAUCUGGUUUUGCUCUACUUUGGGAAUCAAAUAGCUCAUUGACUUCCCUUUUGAGUAGUAGGAUUAGCACAGUUAGUGUGUGAA
Molecule: unclassified non-coding RNA, 777 nt
Filed under: Hevea brasiliensis (rubber tree)
Lineage: Eukaryota; Viridiplantae; Streptophyta; Magnoliopsida; Malpighiales; Euphorbiaceae
Source: RNAcentral